This 252-nucleotide ribosomal RNA is filed under the name uncultured Bacteroidales bacterium. RNAcentral's name for it is "partial 16S ribosomal RNA". It matches the Rfam family "Bacterial small subunit ribosomal RNA", at positions 524 to 776 of the family's 1533-position model. The record is from RNAcentral. Lineage: Bacteria; Pseudomonadati; Bacteroidota; Bacteroidia; Bacteroidales.
UACGGAGGAUGCGAGCGUUAUCCGGAUUUAUUGGGUUUAAAGGGUGCGUAGGCGGACUGGAAAGUCAGCGGUAAAAUCGAGAGGCUCAACCUCUUUCCGCCGUUGAAACUGUCGGUCUUGAGUGGGCGAGAAGUAUGCGGAAUGCGUGGUGUAGCGGUGAAAUGCAUAGAUAUCACGCAGAACCCCGAUGGCGAAGGCAGCCUGCCAAGCCAUGACUGACGCUGAUGCACGAAAGCGUGGGGAUCGAACAGG